This 446-nucleotide ribosomal RNA is filed under the name uncultured bacterium. RNAcentral's name for it is "partial 16S ribosomal RNA". It matches the Rfam family "Bacterial small subunit ribosomal RNA", at positions 338 to 795 of the family's 1533-position model. The record is from RNAcentral.
CCUACGGGGUGCUGCAGUCGAGAAUCAUUCACAAUGGGGGAAACCCUGAUGGUGCGACGCCGCGUGGGGGAAUGAAGGUCUUCGGAUUGUAAACCCCUGUCAUGUGGGAGCAAAUUAAAAAGAUAGUACCACAAGAGGAAGAGACGGCUAACUCUGUGCCAGCAGCCGCGGUAAUACAGAGGUCUCAAGCGUUGUUCGGAAUCACUGGGCGUAAGGCGUGCGUAGGCUGUUUCGUAAGUCGUGUGUGAAAGGCGCGGGCUCAACCCGCGGACGGCACAUGAGACUGCGAGACUAGAGUAAUGGAGGGGGAACCGGAAUUCUCGGUGUAGCAGUGAAAUGCGUAGAUAUCGAGAGGAACACUCGUGGCGAAGGCGGGUUCCUGGACAUUAACUGACGCUGAGGCACGAAGGCCAGGGGAGCGAAAGGGAUUAGAUACCCCAGUAGUC